Molecule: ribosomal RNA, 497 nt
Filed under: uncultured bacterium
Lineage: Bacteria
Description: partial 16S ribosomal RNA
Rfam family: Bacterial small subunit ribosomal RNA
Source: RNAcentral
GACGAACGCUGGCGGCGUGCCUAAUACAUGCAAGUUGAGCGCUGAAGGUUGGUACUUGUACCGACUGGAUGAGCAGCGAACGGGUGAGUAACGCGUGGGGAAUCUGCCUUUGAGCGGGGGACAACAUUUGGAAACGAAUGCUAAUACCGCAUAAAAACUUUAAACACAAGUUUUAAGUUUGAAAGAUGCAAUUGCAUCACUCAAAGAUGAUCCCGCGUUGUAUUAGCUAGUUGGUGAGGUAAAGGCUCACCAAGGCGAUGAUACAUAGCCGACCUGAGAGGGUGAUCGGCCACGUUGGGACUGAGACACGGCCCAAACUCCUACGGGAGGCAGCAGUAGGGAAUCUUCGGCAAUGGACGAAAGGCUGACCGAGCAACGCCGCGUGAGUGAAGAAGGUUUUCGGAUCGUAAAACUCUGUUGGUAGAGAAGAACGUUGGUGAGAGUGGAAAGCUCAUCAAGUGACGGUAACUACCCAGAAAGGGACGGCUAACUACGUG